GCAUAGCUAAGUGUUGCUCUCCACAUUCUGGAGGAUCAAGUUUGAAAUCAGUGGAAUUAGACUAUGAUAGCUAAAGAGAUGGAGAAAACAGCUGUCUCCGGAUUACAUCUUCAAACUGAGGGCAACAGUGGCAUGGCAUCCGUGACAGGGAGACGCGUCCAUCAUGCAUGAUGAUGUAUACAGGAAAAUCAAUGAUGAGACCUUCAUGCUGCCCGUCUGCAUUAUUGAAGAAGGCAAUGAGCUCCGUCGGGUCUUUUUAAAAAUGGCGGUAGUUACAGUCUUGUCUCAUCGCUGCAACUCCCGUACGGACUCGGGAGAGGUGAAGGUCGAGAGCCAUGCAUCCUCCGAAACACAACCCAACCCAACCCAACCAAGCCGCACUGCUUCUUGACACAAUGCCCAUCCAACCUGGAAGCCAGCCACACCAAUGUCUCAGAGGAAACACCGUACACCUG
RNAcentral lists this long non-coding RNA (455 nucleotides) under Salmo salar (Atlantic salmon). RNAcentral describes it as "lncRNA (ENSSSAG00000089772.1)". Lineage: Eukaryota; Metazoa; Chordata; Actinopteri; Salmoniformes; Salmonidae. The record is from RNAcentral.